Molecule: transfer RNA, 72 nt
Filed under: Camelus bactrianus (Bactrian camel)
Lineage: Eukaryota; Metazoa; Chordata; Mammalia; Artiodactyla; Camelidae
Also listed under: 2 other names
Rfam family: tRNA
About the family: Transfer RNA (tRNA) molecules are approximately 80 nucleotides in length. Their secondary structure includes four short double-helical elements and three loops (D, anti-codon, and T loops). Further hydrogen bonds mediate the characteristic L-shaped molecular structure. tRNAs have two regions of fundamental functional importance: the anti-codon, which is responsible for specific mRNA codon recognition, and the 3' end, to which the tRNAs corresponding amino acid is attached (by aminoacyl-tRNA synthetases). tRNAs cope with the degeneracy of the genetic code in two manners: having more than one tRNA (with a specific anti-codon) for a particular amino acid; and 'wobble' base-pairing, i.e. permitting non-standard base-pairing at the 3rd anti-codon position.
Source: Rfam by way of RNAcentral
GAGGGUACAGCUCAGUGGCAGAGUGUAUGCUUAGCAUGCACGAGGUCCUGGGCUCAAUCCCCAGUACCUCCA